ACAGUGUUCUGGCUCUGCCGCUGGCAUCUUUGUGGUGCAAGAGGAAAGUCCGGGCAGCAUAGAGCACUCCACUUCCGAAAGUAGAAGCUGUUGGUAACAAUAGGUGAAGGCAGAAGAAAAGAACCGCCUUUGUGGUUCCGCAUUCCUCGGUCGGACUUGAUCCGGUCUUGGGAUCCUCACAAGGGUAAGGGUGAGAAGGUAGUGUAAGAGACUACCAGCUGGCGGGUGAUCGCCAGGCUGUGCUGACUGGAGGCUGCAAGUUCGCGUAUACCGUCGUUUGAGGGCUGCUCGUCCGAUACGCAAGUACGACGGAGGGUAGAAUGCUUGAGCCGUGGGGUGACUCACGGCGUAGAUAAAUGGCAGGCACUUCAUCCAUCGAAAGGUGAUUGAGGGACGGAACCCGGCUUAUAGGAGCACUGUUUUC
This 424-nucleotide RNase P RNA is filed under the name Prevotella sp. RNAcentral's name for it is "RNase P RNA component class A". It matches the Rfam family "Bacterial RNase P class A". From Rfam's summary of the family: Ribonuclease P (RNase P) is a ubiquitous endoribonuclease, found in archaea, bacteria and eukarya as well as chloroplasts and mitochondria. Lineage: Bacteria; Pseudomonadati; Bacteroidota; Bacteroidia; Bacteroidales; Prevotellaceae. The record is from RNAcentral.